GACCACCACCCGCCACCGCCGCGCGAGCGUACUAUUGCGGCCGCCCUCUGCUGCGCCUGAAGAGAGAGGCGACUCUACAAGCCUCACAGCAUGCACUGUUACUAAAAAGACGAUGCGUCCUCCUGGACCUGAGAUCUGUGUGAUCGUGGGAAAGCGACGAAAAACGAACAAAGGAACAGUAAAUGGAGUAACUUGGCUAGAAUAUGGCAGUAACUACAAGGCAUGUUCUGCUCUGGCACGAAGUAGAUAUGGGGUUUCACCAUGUUGGCCAGGCUGGUCUUGAACUCCUGACCUUGUGAUCUGCCCACCUUAGCCUCCCAAAAUGCUGAGAUUACAGACAACCCACCUGAGGCACCAGACACAUGAGUGAAGCCAUCUUGGACAUCCCAGUCACAGCCAAACUCACUCCUGAGUGCAUCUGCAUGAUGAACCCAGCAAUCCCCACCAUGGAGCAAAGGAUCCAUCCAGUCAACCCAAAGAAUCGUGAAAAAUAAUAAAUUGUUGUUUUAAAGUUCUUCAGUUUGGGAAUAGCUUGUUAUGCAACAAUACAUAAUUAAUACACUGGUCUCCCACUUUCAAGUUUGAUUAACUUUCAGCUAUUUUUCACAUAGCAGGCAGAGUGAUUCCAUUAAAACAUAUAUCAGAUAAUGUCACUGCACUAAGUAAACUCUACAAGGACUCUCAUCUCCCUCAGAGUAAAGGUCACAGUUGUUACAAGGCCCUACGUAAUGUGGCCCUCACCACCACUCCAUUACCUUUUUCUUAUCUACUAUUUGCUAACUUUGCUUUGUCCUCUUUUCUGUUCUGAAACAGGCUAGGCAUGGUCCUGCCUCAAGGCCUUUGCACCACCUACUCUGUCUGCUUGGAUUGUUCUUCCCACAGAUUUCUUGCUCCCUUCUUCCUUCAUGAAGAAAUGUCAUGAAAUGUCCUUCCUUCAUGAAAUGUCACCUUCUCAUUUGAGGCCUUCUGUAGUACCCCAAAGAAUGGUCCCCAAAGAUGUCCACAUCCUUAUGCCCAGAACCUGUGAAUGUGUUAUCUUAAUGGCAAAAGUGACUUUGCAAAUGUGAUUAUAUUUAAGGAUCUUAAGGAGGAGAUUAUCCUGGAUUAUCCAGGAGGGCCCAAUGUAAUCACAAGGGCCCUUAUAAGUGAAAGGGGGAGGCAACAGAGAGAAGGAGAUGUCAUAAUGAAAACAGAUCCAAGUGAUGAGAUUGCUGGCUGGGGUGGAGGUGGAGGGGGGUACAAUCCAAGGAAUGCAAGAAGCCUCUAAAAGCUAGGAAAUGUCAGGACACAAAUUCUCCCCUAGAACCUGAGGAAGAAACCCAGGUUUAUGGACACUGAUUUUAACCCAAUAAGUCCCUUUUCUGACUGCUGACCUCCAAAACUGUAAGAUAAUAAAUUUGUGUUAUUUUAAGCCAACUGAGUUUGAGAUAAUUUAGUUAUGGCAGCAAUAGGAAACUAGCACACCUUCCUAGCCAUCCUAUCUAAAAUGGCAACCCAUGUCCUUCCUGGCACUUCCUAUCUCCCUUCCAUGUUUUUUUUAAAUCAUAUAUACAAUAUAUUUUACUGUUUUACCUAUUGUCUUUUCCACCAGAAAGUAAACUCCACGUAAAUAAGGAUUGUCUGUUUUAUUCUUUGCAGUAUCUCCACUGCCUAGGAUAGCAUCUGCACAUACUGCACACUCAGUACACAUUUGUCGAAUGAGGUCAGGCGCGGUGGUUCACACCUGUAAUCCCAGCACUUUGGGAGGCCAAGGCGGGUGGAUCACCUUAGGUUAGGAGUUCGAGACCAGCCUGGCCAACAUGGUGAAACCAUGUCUCUACUAAAAAUACAAAAAGUAGUUGGGCAUGGUGGCAUGUGCCUGUAAUCCCA
Molecule: long non-coding RNA, 1869 nt
Organism: Homo sapiens (human)
Lineage: Eukaryota; Metazoa; Chordata; Mammalia; Primates; Hominidae
Source: Ensembl